Molecule: ribosomal RNA, 459 nt
Filed under: uncultured bacterium
Lineage: Bacteria
Description: partial 16S ribosomal RNA
Rfam family: Bacterial small subunit ribosomal RNA
Source: RNAcentral
CCUACGGGAGGCAGCAGUGGGGAAUAUUGGUCAAUGGGCGCAAGCCUGAACCAGCCAAGUCGCGUGAGGGAAGACGGUCCUAGGGAUUGUAAACCUCUUUUGUCGGGGAGCAAAAGACGCCACGCGUGGCGUUCCGAGAGUACCCGAAGAAAAAGCAUCGGCUAACUCCGUGCCAGCAGCCGCGGUAAUACGGAGGAUGCGGGCGUUAUCCGGAUGUAUUGGGUUAAAGGGGUGCGCAGGCGGAAGAUAAAGUCAGCGGUAAAAGUGAGAGGCUAAACCGCUUCGAGCCGUUGAAACUGGUCGGCUUGAGUGAGUGAGAAGUAUGUGGAAUGCGUGGUGUAGCGGUGAAAUGCAUAGAUAUCACGCAGAACGCCGAUUGCGAAGGCAGCAUACCGGCGCUCAACUGACGCUCAUGCACGAAAGCGUGGGUAGCGAACAGGAUUAGAUACCCCAGUAGUC